AUUGAACGCUGGCGGCAGGCCUAACACAUGCAAGUCGAGCGAGAAAGCCCUUCGGGGUGAGUACAGCGGCGGACGGGUGAGUAACGCGUGGGAAUCUGCCCAGUAGUGGGGGACAACAGCCGGAAACGGCUGCUAAUACCGCAUACGCCCUACGGGGGAAAGCAGGGGAUCUUCGGACCUUGUGCUAUUGGAUGAGCCCGCGUCAGAUUAGCUUGUUGGUGGGGUAAUGGCCUACCAAGGCGACGAUCUGUAGCUGGUCUGAGAGGAUGAUCAGCCACAUCGGGACUGAGACACGGCCCGAACUCCUACGGGAGGCAGCAGUGGGGAAUAUUGGACAAUGGGGGCAACCCUGAUCCAGCCAUGCCGCGUGUGUGAAGAAGGCCUUCGGGUUGUAAAGCACUUUCAGCGAGGAGGAAAGCCUGAUGGCUAAUACCCAUCGGGGGUGACGUUACUCGCAGAAGAAGCACCGGCUAACUCCGUGCCAGCAGCCGCGGUAAUACGGAGGGUGCAAGCGUUAAUCGGAAUUACUGGGCGUAAAGCGCACGUAGGCGGCGAGUUAAGCUAGCUGUGAAAAGCCCCGGGCUCAACCUGGGAACUGCAGUUAGAACUGGCUAGCUAGAGUACGGUAGAGGAGUGUGGAAUUUCCUGUGUAGCGGUGAAAUGCGUAGAUAUAGGAAGGAACAUCAGUGGCGAAGGCGACACUCUGGACUGAUACUGACGCUGAGGCGCGAAAGCGUGGGGAGCAACAGGAUUAGAUACCCUGGUAGUCCACGCCGUAAACGAUGUCUACUAGCCGUUGGGAGCCUUGAGCUCUUAGUGGCGCAGCUAACGCACUAAGUAGACCGCCUGGGGAGUACGGCCGCAAGGUUAAAACUCAAAUGAAUUGACGGGGGCCCGCACAAGCGGUGGAGCAUGUGGUUUAAUUCGACGCAACGCGAAGAACCUUACCAGGCCUUGACAUCCUUGGAACUUAGCAGAGAUGCUUUGGUGCCUUCGGGAGCCAAGUGACAGGUGCUGCAUGGCUGUCGUCAGCUCGUGUCGUGAGAUGUUGGGUUAAGUCCCGUAACGAGCGCAACCCUUGUCCUUAGUUGCCAGCACGUAAUGGUGGGAACUCUAAGGAGACUGCCGGUGACAAACCGGAGGAAGGUGGGGACGACGUCAAGUCAUCAUGGCCCUUACGGCCUGGGCUACACACGUGCUACAAUGGGCGGUACAAAGGGUUGCCAAUCCGCGAGGUGGAGCUAAUCCCGAAAAACCGUUCGUAGUCCGGAUUGGAGUCUGCAACUCGACUCCAUGAAGUCGGAAUCGCUAGUAAUCGUGAAUCAGAAUGUCACGGUGAAUACGUUCCCGGGCCUUGUACACACCGCCCGUCACACCAUGGGAGUGGGUUGCACCAGAAGUGGCUAGUCUAACCUCGGAGGACGGUCACCACGGUGUGAUUCAUGACUGGGGUG
Molecule: ribosomal RNA, 1454 nt
Filed under: Marinimicrobium koreense
Lineage: Bacteria; Pseudomonadati; Pseudomonadota; Gammaproteobacteria; Cellvibrionales; Cellvibrionaceae
Description: 16S ribosomal RNA
Rfam family: Bacterial small subunit ribosomal RNA
Source: RNAcentral